This 464-nucleotide ribosomal RNA is filed under the name uncultured bacterium. RNAcentral describes it as "bacterial SSU rRNA". It matches the Rfam family "Bacterial small subunit ribosomal RNA", at positions 329 to 792 of the family's 1533-position model. The record is from RNAcentral.
GACCAGACUCCUACGGGAGGCAGCAGUGAGGAAUAUUGGUCAAUGGGCGAGAGCCUGAACCAGCCAAGUCGCGUGAGGGAGUACUGCCCUAUGGGUUGUAAACCUCUUUUGUCGGGGAGCAAAAGCCGGACGUGUCCGGCUGUGAGAGUACCCGAAGAAAAAGCAUCGGCUAACUCCGUGCCAGCAGCCGCGGUAAUACGGAGGAUGCGAGCGUUAUCCGGAUUUAUUGGGUUUAAAGGGUGCGCAGGCGGCACGGCAAGCCGGCGGUCAAAUCGCGGGGCUCAACCCCGCCCAGCCGUCGGAACUGCCGGGCUAGAGUGGGCGAGAAGUGCGCGGAAUGCGUGGUGUAGCGGUGAAAUGCAUAGAUAUCACGCAGAACUCCGAUUGCGAAGGCAGCGCACCGGCGCCCUACUGACGCUCAGGCACGAAAGCGUGGGUAUCGAACAGGAUUAGAUACCCCCGUA